GGGCCCGUAGCUCAGUGGAUAGAGCAAUGGUCUCCUAAACCAUGUGUCGGACGUUCGAUUCGUCUCGGGCCCGCCA
This 76-nucleotide transfer RNA is filed under the name Bacillota bacterium. Its description in RNAcentral is "Firmicutes bacterium (anaerobic digester metagenome) tRNA-Arg". It matches the Rfam family "tRNA". Rfam says of the family: Transfer RNA (tRNA) molecules are approximately 80 nucleotides in length. Their secondary structure includes four short double-helical elements and three loops (D, anti-codon, and T loops). RNAcentral also lists the same sequence under 1 other name. The record is from RNAcentral. Lineage: Bacteria; Bacillati; Bacillota.